Molecule: ribosomal RNA, 532 nt
Filed under: Enterobacter asburiae
Lineage: Bacteria; Pseudomonadati; Pseudomonadota; Gammaproteobacteria; Enterobacterales; Enterobacteriaceae
Also listed under: 3 other names
Description: bacterial SSU rRNA
Rfam family: Bacterial small subunit ribosomal RNA
Source: RNAcentral
CCAGAGAUGGAUUGGUGCCUUCGGGAACUCUGAGACAGGUGCUGCAUGGCUGUCGUCAGCUCGUGUUGUGAAAUGUUGGGUUAAGUCCCGCAACGAGCGCAACCCUUAUCCUUUGUUGCCAGCGGUUAGGCCGGGAACUCAAAGGAGACUGCCAGUGAUAAACUGGAGGAAGGUGGGGAUGACGUCAAGUCAUCAUGGCCCUUACGAGUAGGGCUACACACGUGCUACAAUGGCGCAUACAAAGAGAAGCGACCUCGCGAGAGCAAGCGGACCUCAUAAAGUGCGUCGUAGUCCGGAUUGGAGUCUGCAACUCGACUCCAUGAAGUCGGAAUCGCUAGUAAUCGUAGAUCAGAAUGCUACGGUGAAUACGUUCCCGGGCCUUGUACACACCGCCCGUCACACCAUGGGAGUGGGUUGCAAAAGAAGUAGGUAGCUUAACCUUCGGGAGGGCGCUUACCACUUUGUGAUUCAUGACUGGGGUGAAGUCGUAACAAGGUAACCGUAGGGGAACCUGCGGUUGGAUCACCUCCUU